This 468-nucleotide ribosomal RNA is filed under the name uncultured bacterium. RNAcentral's name for it is "partial 16S ribosomal RNA". It matches the Rfam family "Bacterial small subunit ribosomal RNA", at positions 28 to 507 of the family's 1533-position model. The record is from RNAcentral.
GACGAACGCUGGCGGCGUGCUUAACACAUGCAAGUCGAACGGAAAGGCCCUGCUUUUGUGGGGUGCUCGAGUGGCGAACGGGUGAGUAACACGUGAGUAACCUGCCCUUGACUUUGGGAUAACUUCAGGAAACUGGGGCUAAUACCGGAAAGGAGCUCCUGCUGCAUGGUGGGGGUUGGAACGUUUCGGCGGUUGGGGAUGGACUCGCGGCUUAUCAGCUUGUUGGUGGGGUAGUGGCUUACCAAGGCUUUGACGGGUAGCCGGCCUGAGAGGGUGACCGGCCACAUUGGGACUGAGAUACGGCCCAGACUCCUACGGGAGGCAGCAGUGGGGAAUAUUGCACAAUGGGCGGAAGCCUGAUGCAGCAACGCCGCGUGCGGGAUGACGGCCUUCGGGUUGUAAACCGCUUUCGCCUGUGACGAAGCGUGAGUGACGGUAAUGGGUAAAGAAGCACCGGCUAACUACGUG